Molecule: ribosomal RNA, 253 nt
Filed under: uncultured bacterium
Lineage: Bacteria
Description: partial 16S ribosomal RNA
Rfam family: Bacterial small subunit ribosomal RNA
Source: RNAcentral
UACGUAGGGCGCAAGCGUUGUCCGGAAUUAUUGGGCGUAAAGAGCUCGUAGGCGGUUUGUCGCGUCUGUCGUGAAAGCUUGGGGCUUAACCCCAAGUCUGCGGUGGAUACGGGCAGACUAGAGGCAGGUAGGGGAGAACGGAAUUCCCGGUGUAGCGGUGAAAUGCGCAGAUAUCGGGAGGAACACCGGUGGCGAAGGCGGUUCUCUGGGCCAGUACUGACGCUGAGGAGCGAAAGCGUGGGGAGCGAACAGG